UGCAAAUAAGAAAGUUCCACUAGAAAGCUAAUUUCUAAGCAAAAGCGCAUGGCUGGUGGAGAUCUAAGAGAGUUGGAGUUCCUCACAUUCUCAUCCAGCAGUUAGUACGUGCUGUUUUUGUAUUCUUCAUAUCUAGAUUUGGUGCUGCAAUUGCUUCACGUUUACAACAAUCUGAGAAACUUACAAAAUGGGUUACGGAGCAAGCUCCUGAGCUAGAUGACGUGUAGUGGCCAUUUUCCAAGCAACGUUCUUGCAAAGAUGGAUGUCUAGAGUGGUGAUAAUAGUCGCAAGCACACUUCUGAUUGUUCUAUUUCUUAUACCACUUGUGCUUGUGCAAGUCUUGCCAAUCUGUCCCAACUGGAAGUCUGGUUCCCCUUCCUGGCAAGCAUUUUUACCGCGUAAGUGAUUAUUCCAUCUUGCGAGUUUCUGUGAACAUUGCUAGUUCAAUCUGCUUGUCAUAGAAAAAUUUUAGAAUUGUAAUUCUUUUAUUCAUUAAUCAACAUUAUAAUUGGGCUUUAAACUUAUGUUAGAUUUUAAGAUUUGGAGAGAAGAAAUCAAGGAGGAAGAAGGUUUAUUGAAGUCUGCAUGGAAGGAGGCUACCUUGAAGAUCAGCACUCAAGUUUUUGUCAGACUACAGUUUUUGCAUAUAGUUUUGUGUCGAUCAACUAGUUACAUUUUUAUUUUGUUCUUUUAGAUUGAACAAGAAUUACUUAUCUUUUAGCUUUUUUAGAAUUUAAAGACAAGGGGAUGUGAUUUUUGAUAACAUAACUUGAAAUUCUAUUGUAAAAAAUAUUUUGAGUAAUGAAAUUUUAAUUUGUUUAA
Spinacia oleracea (spinach) is the source of this 822-nucleotide long non-coding RNA. RefSeq lists it as uncharacterized. NCBI's taxonomy places the organism in Eukaryota, Viridiplantae, Streptophyta, Magnoliopsida, Caryophyllales, Amaranthaceae. The record is from RefSeq and is a predicted model, not a curated record. The transcript has 2 exons.